RNAcentral lists this ribosomal RNA (305 nucleotides) under uncultured bacterium. RNAcentral describes it as "partial 16S ribosomal RNA". It matches the Rfam family "Bacterial small subunit ribosomal RNA", at positions 508 to 807 of the family's 1533-position model. The record is from RNAcentral.
ACAGCAGCCGCCACGGGAAUACGUAGGUGGCAAGCGUUGUCCGGAAUUAUUGGGCGUAAAGGGCUCGCAGGCGGUUUCUUAAGUCUGAUGUGAAAGCCCCCGGCUCAACCGGGGAGGGUCAUUGGAAACUGGGAAACUUGAGUGCAGAAGAGGAGAGUGGAAUUCCACGUGUAGCGGUGAAAUGCGUAGAGAUGUGGAGGAACACCAGUGGCGAAGGCGACUCUCUGGUCUGUAACUGACGCUGAGGAGCGAAAGCGUGGGGAGCAAACAGGAUUAGAUACCCCUGUAGUCCCUGUCUCUUAUAC